CCUACGGGUGGCAGCAGUGAGGAAUAUUGGUCAAUGGGCGAGAGCCUGAACCAGCCAAGUCGCGUGAGGGAGUACUGCCCUAUGGGUUGUAAACCUCUUUUGUCGGGGAGCAAAAGCAGGACGUGUCCGGCUGUGAGAGUACCCGAAGAAAAAGCAUCGGCGAACCCCGUGCCAGCAGCCGCGGUAAUCCGGAGGAUGCGAGCGUUAUCCGGAUUUAUUGGGUUUAAAGGGUGCGCAGGCGGAUUUUUAAGUUAGCGGUAAAAUCGUGGGGCUCAACCCCAUCCAGCCGUUGAAACUGGGGAUCUAGAGUGGGCGAGAGGUAUGCGGAAUGCGUGGUGUAGCGGUGAAAUGCAUAGAUAUCACGCAGAACCCCGAUUGCGAAGGCAGCAUACCGGUGCACAACUGACGCUCAGGCACGAAAGCGUGGGUAUCGAACAGGAUUAGAUACCCGAGUAGUC
RNAcentral lists this ribosomal RNA (458 nucleotides) under uncultured bacterium. Its description in RNAcentral is "partial 16S ribosomal RNA". It matches the Rfam family "Bacterial small subunit ribosomal RNA", at positions 338 to 795 of the family's 1533-position model. The record is from RNAcentral.